GACGAACGCUGGCGGCGUGCUUAACACAUGCAAGUCGAACGGAAAGGCCCUGCUUUUGUGGGGUGCUCGAGUGGCGAACGGGUGAGUAACACGUGAGUAACCUGCCCUUGACUUUGGGAUAACUUCAGGAAACUGGGGCUAAUACCUGAUAGGAGCUCCUGCUGCAUGGUGGGGGUUGGAAAGUUUCUGCGUGGGGGGAUGGAUUCGCGGCUUAUCAGCUUGUUGGUGGGGUAGGGGCUUACCAAGGCUUUGACGGGUAGCCGGCCUGAGAGGGUGACCGGACACAUUGGGACUGAGAUACGGCCCAGACUCCUACGGGAGGCAGCAGUGGGGAAUAUUGCACAAUGGGCGGAAGCCUGAUGCAGCAACGCCGCGUGCGGGAUGACGGCAUUCGGGUUGUAAACCGCUUUCGCCUGUGACGAAGCGUGAGUGACGGUAAUGGGUAAAGAAGCACCGGCUAACUACGUG
RNAcentral lists this ribosomal RNA (468 nucleotides) under uncultured bacterium. RNAcentral's name for it is "partial 16S ribosomal RNA". It matches the Rfam family "Bacterial small subunit ribosomal RNA", at positions 28 to 507 of the family's 1533-position model. The record is from RNAcentral.